UGGCACAGUGGUAGAGCACUUGCCUGGUAUGCAUGAGCCUCUGGGUUCAAUGCCCAG
RNAcentral lists this transfer RNA (57 nucleotides) under Fukomys damarensis (Damara mole-rat). It matches the Rfam family "tRNA", at positions 8 to 63 of the family's 71-position model. From Rfam's summary of the family: Transfer RNA (tRNA) molecules are approximately 80 nucleotides in length. Their secondary structure includes four short double-helical elements and three loops (D, anti-codon, and T loops). Lineage: Eukaryota; Metazoa; Chordata; Mammalia; Rodentia; Bathyergidae. The record is from Rfam by way of RNAcentral.